This 282-nucleotide ribosomal RNA is filed under the name Ranitomeya fantastica (red-headed poison frog). RNAcentral's name for it is "partial 12S ribosomal RNA". It matches the Rfam family "Bacterial small subunit ribosomal RNA", at positions 872 to 1300 of the family's 1533-position model. Lineage: Eukaryota; Metazoa; Chordata; Amphibia; Anura; Dendrobatidae. The record is from RNAcentral.
CCCGGGAACUACGAGCCAAGCUUAAAACCCAAAGGACUUGACGGUACCCCAUAUCCCCCUAGAGGAGCCUGUCCUAUAAUCGAUAACCCCCGUUUAACCUCACCAUUUCUAGCAACUCAGCCUGUAUACCUCCGUCGUCAGCUUACCACGUGAGCGCUAGUGAGCUCAAUGUUUUUUCAACUAAACGUCAGGUCAAGGUGCAACACAUGAAGUGGGAAGAGAUGGGCUACACUUUCUAAAAUAGAUCACACGGAAGACUAACUAUGAAAUCUAGUCAGAAGG